GGCGAUGCGCGUGUCACCUGCUCAGCCAGGUGGGCGCUGAGGGGACGCAUGGGAGGUUUGGACCAUUGCAUGUCCUUUGUAAGACAUAAUUCUUUCAUGCAGAGCAUGUUCAGCUCGCCUUCACACGGGAAACUCUUGCUACAGGUUGGAUGGUUGCUUCCAAGGUCCCUGACGAUACACCUGCGUCACUCUUCAGUGACCCUGCCUCCGCCGCCCUCUGACAAUACUUCUAAAGCAGUUGAUGCGGUCACUAACGGUUUUCUGGCACCAGCAGCGCCACCUGUGCACGUGGUGUAGGCAUGAAGGGGAAGGAACCUAUAAUUGCCUUAGGUUCACGACCAGGUCGUCAGAU
Long non-coding RNA from Pomacea canaliculata, 352 nucleotides. RefSeq lists it as uncharacterized. The transcript is spliced from 3 exons. Lineage: Eukaryota; Metazoa; Mollusca; Gastropoda; Architaenioglossa; Ampullariidae. The record is from RefSeq and is a predicted model, not a curated record.